GAGUUUGAUCAUGGCUCAGAUUGAACGCUGGCGGCAUGCCUUACACAUGCAAGUCGAACGGCAGCACGGGAGCUUGCUCCUGGUGGCGAGUGGCGAACGGGUGAGUAAUGCAUCGGAACGUAUCCUGGAGUGGGGGAUAACGUAGCGAAAGUUACGCUAAUACCGCAUAUUCUGUGAGCAGGAAAGCGGGGGACCUUCGGGCCUCGCGCUCUUGGAGCGGCCGAUGUCGGAUUAGCUAGUUGGUGAGGUAAAGGCUCACCAAGGCGACGAUCCGUAGCAGGUCUGAGAGGAUGAUCUGCCACACUGGAACUGAGACACGGUCCAGACUCCUACGGGAGGCAGGCAGUGGGGAAUUUUGGACAAUGGGGGCAACCCUGAUCCAGCCAUGCCGCGUGAGUGAAGAAGGCCUCGGUUGUAAG
RNAcentral lists this ribosomal RNA (419 nucleotides) under bacterium enrichment culture clone ALO1_GLFRUDD03GYYBT. RNAcentral's name for it is "bacterial SSU rRNA". It matches the Rfam family "Bacterial small subunit ribosomal RNA", at positions 9 to 429 of the family's 1533-position model. The record is from RNAcentral.